RNAcentral lists this ribosomal RNA (468 nucleotides) under uncultured bacterium. RNAcentral describes it as "partial 16S ribosomal RNA". It matches the Rfam family "Bacterial small subunit ribosomal RNA", at positions 28 to 507 of the family's 1533-position model. The record is from RNAcentral.
GACGAACGCUGGCGGCGUGCUUAACACAUGCCAGUCGAACGGAAAGGCCCUGCUUUUGUGGGGUGCUCGAGUGGCGAACGGGUGAGUAACACGUGAGUAACCUGCCCUUGACUUUGGGAUAACUUCAGGAAACUGGGGCUAAUACUGGAUAGGAGCUCCUGCUGCAUGGUGGGGGCUGGAAAGUUUCGGCGGUUGGGGAUGGACUCGCGGCUUAUCAGCUUGUUGGUGGGGUAGUGGCUUACCAAGGCUUUGACGGGUAGCCGGCCUGAGAGGGUGACCGGCCACAUUGGGACUGAGAUACGGCCCAGACUCCUACGGGAGGCAGCAGUGGGGAAUAUUGCACAAUGGGCGGAAGCCUGAUGCAGCAACGCCGCGUGCGGGAUGACGGCCUUCGGGUUGUAAACCGCUUUCGCCUGUGACGAAGCGUGAGUGACGGUAAUGGGUAAAGAAGCACCGGCUAACUACGUG